Planococcus citri (citrus mealybug) is the source of this 5813-nucleotide long non-coding RNA. RefSeq lists it as uncharacterized. NCBI's taxonomy places the organism in Eukaryota, Metazoa, Arthropoda, Insecta, Hemiptera, Pseudococcidae. The record is from RefSeq and is a predicted model, not a curated record. The transcript has 16 exons.
ACUCUUCUCAGUUUUUUAAGGUUAUUAAAAUGGUGCAAACAUAAUAAAAUAAAUUUGAUAUGAUGUUUUUACGAAAUAAAUCUAAUUGUUAGUUUAUAUUCCAGUUUCGAUAACAACAACUGCUUGUUUCUUCCUCUGGAAUUGUUUUACUGGAAUCUUCAUUGGAAUAACUCGGCCAGAUAUAUAAUGGAUCCGUUGUUAUUUAAUUCCCUGAUACGCUCACGAACGUUUCUUCGUAGCAGCGAAUUUAGAUCAAGUCGAUUGGAACAUCGCGUUGGCAUAAGGUAUACUUUCUGUACGCCACGGUAUUCUAAAUGGUCAAUUGCUCUUUUAAUGUUUGCAAGCGUUUGAUCUUCGGUUUGGUUUUCGGUGAGAUCGAAUUCACCAAAUGACAACAGUACGGUUGAUGGAAGUGUCUUUACGAAGAUAUUCAAAUUCAUUAGGAACGAGUUGAUUGUCAUUCUGUAUUGAGAAAGUUCAUUAUUUUCCCAAUAAGAUUGGGCGGCAUUGUACGAAUCCAGUGAUCGAUAUACUAGAUCAUGACUAGCUGCAUCGCCGAGUAUGAGGACACCGUUCAAGAAGUGGUCUUCGAUGUCUUGGCAUAAAUGGAUGUUUUUCGCAAUUAAUCCAUUCAAUAGUUCUACCAUGACUUCAGGAAGUCCUGUUUUCUUACGUAGGAUUGCAAUGAUAUCGCAUUUCGGGAUGGACCGGUGAUGAGUAAAUGUUUCGAUGACGGAAUUCUUUCGCAAUUCGAUGGUUACGGUUGGUUGUUCGUAAUUGGUGGUUCGUAUUUUCCAUGUCUGCUAAUUGUCGGUGUAGGCGAGCAAUCUGCCCUAUAUAAUUAGCUCUGGAUCCGCGUAAUAGAAGGUCUGCGUACACAAAUUUUACUUCUACGUAAUUUUGAGCCAGAAGUAGCGUUCCUGUGCAGUCUUGUUUUACGCAAUGGUAGACCACUAAAGCAUCGUGUUCAAGGUUUCCAUAGAGCAGGCUGGAACGGCAAAGUAGCUUGAUGGUUCAUAUACGUUCAUUCUGGAUUAUCUAUUGAGAAAAUAUCAUCAUGUGUUAAUCCAUGUGGUGUGAAUUCGAUUGAUUUAUCUGACGUUUGACGUUGACUUGCUUGCGAAUAUUUUACGGAAUAUGCACUAUAUUCACUGGAUAACUUUUGCGAAAACGAAAUUAUUACGUUGCUGAAUUAUACAGCAGUUUCUUUUCCGCGGAAUCGACGAUAAUGUCUAAUUGCCCACUCUGUGUGUGUUGAUUUUGUAUUUCGUAACAAUUUUUGCCUGCCCUCUUCACAAUCGCAUAUGGCCCAUUCUGUUUGACAUAAAGUUUAGCUGAAGCAAGUUUAUCUGCUGAUGAUUGACGAUGAUUCGUAAUCAUCACCAGUUCACCAGAUGGAUUAAUGCCUGGUGGUAUGACAUUAAGUCUAUUCGAGCCGUGUCAACUUCUUCCGUAUAUACAGCCUUUCUUGCAAGUUGAUCCGCAGUGAAGUUUCCGUAAUCAGUUUUUCGAGCAUAGGUUUUCCGGAAUUAUUUUUCCAUUUGUUUUCUACCCAUCGAUCACAUUCAGAGUUGAUUGCUAACGUGACAUAUUGAGAAUCCGUGAAAAUCAUUAGUUUCGUAACUCCAUGGAAAUGUUCUUCGAUCCUUCCGGAUGCCAACAGAUUCCGAUACCAGCAAUUGCAUCUUCGUCACCGUUGUUUGCGCAAGCUCCAUCUACCCAAACCCAUACGUGGCCAUCGGAUGCUGUAUAGACGUCGUUUAGCAUAUCUAAUUUCGUAGAUUUAAGUUCUUCUAUCGUGAGAGAUGGUCCGGUAUCUUUAACGCCAUCGGGUAAAGAGUAGAAUCUGCGAGCGGUGUCAGCUCGGUUCAAAAUGGCAUACAUUUCGUCAACAUAUUGCGAUCCCAUCGUAACGUUGUUAAUUGCAAGUUUGUCUGCAUAUUCGUGGAAUUGUAGAAUUGGGAUACUUUCGAUGUCGUGUUCGGGGGUACGAUUAUAUAUUCUGAGGUGGUUACCACUUGUUUGUUCGCCAUCAUGCAUUGAACUGGUUCGUGUAAUUCUAAAAAGUCAAGCUCGCUUGAAUGUUCCCGUAUCAAUCUUAGCGCUGUUUCUUCAGAUAUAACGUUAAGGACUGCCCCAGUGUCAAGUUGAGUUGGGAAGUCCGUUUCACCAAUUUGGAGAUUGACUACGCACGUUUGUGGCAUCAUCCGUCGCUGUAUUAAUUGGGAAACUACCGAAGGAGUUUCAUCGUUGCUCAGAGUUGAAUUUUUUAUUAAAUCAGGUUCGUAAUAAGGACUGUUCGUAAAUAUUUGGUUGAUUGUGCAAGUAGCAUAAUCUUCCAUCUGAUUGAUAACUUUCUCUAACCCAUUUGCUCCAGGGUAUUCUCUCGCACUCAAGUAAUCUCGUAAAAAUAGUUGAUAGGCUCGAUAAACGAAUGAAGAUAGUAAAUCUUUCUUGUUCACGGUGUAAUAGUCAAAUUUGGUUGUAUGCCUACUGAGUGCUACUAUCGCAUGGGGCAAGCUAUCAUAGAUCGAUAAGUGUUCUUUCUGCAGUCUUACUACUAUUAUAUAAUCAUUUUGUUUGCCUUGAAACUCGUGAAUUGUGUUCACGCAAAACUUUUCUUUUUCCAGCGCAGCUUUCUCUUGCUGUGUGUACACCAGGUACUGAGCUCCUGCUACUCGUGGUAAUUGAUCGAGGUUUACGAAAUCAUGUAGUGACAUUUCAGAAUGUACUUUUGACGUGGUAGUCAUCCCUCUAUCAUACAUAUCGGAUAAUACUGCACAGGUGGUUAACGUGCAACGAUGUGAAACAGUUGCGUAAUUUACAUAAACGAGUACGAAAAUCUUUACAUCCUUCCUUCGUUGGAAAUAAUACCAAAUCUGACCCAUCAGUGUUUACGUGUUUGAGUACAAAUCCAGGUCACUUAAUAUUUUGGUAUCUUUGGUAACAAUAAGCAUAUCUGAAGAUAAAUUCGAAGCAUCUUCCACCUCAGAAGUUUGAAUCAAUUUGUUUCCAUCAUGUGCAUACUUGUGAUUAGGAACUAUAUCGUUUGGCAAUUUCGUAUGGAUAGCCUUAGUUCUAUGAUGAAUUGACAUAUAGGUGUGGUACCAGAUUGCAAGCUGUUCCUUCGCAGCGUUGUACGCAAUUUCCUCUUUCGAAAUAGCUUCAAUUUUUGGUGGUCGGAAAUCAAUUACAAUGGAAUCAAGGUGCCAACAUCGAGGUGUUUUCCGUACGGUCUAGUAGAUCAGUUUCAUCGAAUACUGUAUUACGUAAAGUUUCGGACUUCUCCAACUCAUUAGCAAUAACAUUUUUAAUGUUGUUUAGCUUGUGUUGGGCAGCUUCUUCCGUUUCAUCUAGUGUUGGGGGAGGCGGUAUUUCCUCUGGCAUUUUGAUUUUACGGUUAUCCAACGGAGGAGAUUUAGCACUUUUCGGGUGGCUGUCUAACACGAUGUUUACAAACGUUUCGAUGAAUCUUUCUUUCAUUGCAUUAUUUGGUAAAUAGUUGCCAGCAUUAUUUGCAUAAAAUUUCUUAAAAUCAGGUACUACAUUAUGAUGGCGGUCUUCCUUUAUUACAUACUGAGACUUAAUUUUAGGAUGAGGUUUUAAACAGGUGAAUAUCAGCGAUGGUUCAAUCACUAAGCGGAGGUUGUGUUUUUUUGAUAAAGCAUAGAAGAUUCUUUGAAAAGCAUACCAUCGAGUGACUGGAACAUGGUUACGUUGAUCUUUCGUAGGUAAUACUAGCGGGAAAGCUAAGAUUAUGUCCUCGAAUCCUUUUUCAAUCAAUUCUAAGAUAAUUGCAUCAGCAUAUUUAAUGAAUUGUUGGUAGUCAACGUAGUUGCUGUUAAGUUCUUUUUGACCGAAAGAUAUAACGGCGUGAUAACGGUGUUUGAAUCGUGUUUUACGUAAUGCUUGGAGUAAGCUAUAUGCAGAUACAUUAUCAAUUAGACAUAGUCGGUCAGUUUCGCAGUUUGCUAUGUCGAACAGAUAAGAGGCCAAAGUGUCGCCUAUCAUUUGGUAUUCAGUAAUCGGGAACUUUGACCUAUAUACUUCGACGGAGUUUAAAUAUUCAACAACUGUUCUGCCUCCUCCUCGUCUUCGUCUGGAGGUAUUGAAAUCUCUAGACCAUCCUCGUUUUUUGAAUCCUCAUCUUGUUGUUGUGUGAAAUCUACUAGGAUGUUGUUCAAUGCUCCUGCAUAUAAUGCUUGUAAUUGUUCUUGAGUUAAAGAAUUCAAAAGUGGUUGUUGUUUCUGAUAAUUUCCACGUUGGCCAGAUGAAGUGCCUGCCCCAGCGUUCGUAUCCUGUGUUGAAGUUCCAUUGUUUUGUUUUCCUUUCCCACUAUUUUCUAGACUCUGGUUUAGAUUUCUACCUCGCGGGUUGUUGCGACCAUUAUUUUGGUACCGGCCAGCUGGGGUAGAUUGAAAAGGUGUGGCGUUGGGCCUCGGGGUACUAUUCAUCGGUACAGAGCGUUUCGUGAGCUCCUUAAUUCGCGCACCUAAAUUCUGGAUGUUUUUAGUUACGCCCAAAUCAAAAUGAUGUUUCAUAUCGUCGUCUAUUUUCAAUUGAAUAGUAGAAAUUAUAGUACAAUCGGGAAAUUCUGCAUCACAUAAUGUCUUGAACCAUUUUUGUAGUUCAAAAGCCCAUUUAAUCGAAUUUACUUUCGUAAGUUGUGUCAUGAUGAAGUACAUCUUGGCAUUCUCUUGUUGAGUAGUAUUCCAUAAUGUUUGAAUGAAUGAUGUUCUUAAAUUGUAAUAAGUCUUGAUCUCGCCGUUAAGGCCCAUUAAGCUUUCCUUCCAAUUUUUUCCUGCAUCGCUUAGUACUAAUGCCUUGAAAAAUUCGACGUAUUGAGCUUCUGAAGCUCCUUUAGUAGACAUGGCUCCUUCGAACUCAUAAAUAAAUUGCAUGACAUGAUAAAGGUUUGAAUUAAUAUGUUUGAUGCCUUGAUCCGAAAGUUGUUUUGUCUUGAUGUAAUUAUUGGGUUCUUUAGAAAAAUAUAAGUCAUAUCUGAGUAUACGUUGUCUACGUGGUACAUUGAUGGGUAUAUAUUGGUGUCGAUUUCCUAAUUGGAAAGGUACCACAAUUUCAUUUCCUUUUUCAUCACGAGGGGGAAAAUCCUCUAAUUGAUCGUCAACGGCAUUAGUUGGAUCACAUGUUAACAUGGUUUGUCCGGUUAUCAUCCCUGUCAUGUUAGUGUUCAUAGCGGUAUAAUUUGGUGGUGGAUAUUGCGUAAAAUUUGGCUGAGGAUGAUCCGAAGUUUGGUUUACGGAAUGAGAAUUAGAUUGUGGUCCAUUGGUAGAACCUAUAUUGAAUUGGACGUGUGGGGUUGCUUGCCCCAUCUGUUGAUUAUUGGUAGGUUGUUGUACAUGGUGUGAUUGUACAUUCCUUUGAUCCGACAUCUGUUGAUUAAAAUGUUGGGCUUCACAAAAUUUCUCAUACAUCGGGUUGACUUUUUCAUCCAAUUUUUCGAGUGCAGUCCAUGUUUCUCCGACACAGUCUUUCAACUUUGUGACUCCUUCUACCCCUUGUAUGCAUGUAUUCAUGCAAGUAAACAGGGCAUCUCUGAUUUGGAUUUGUUUUUGAUGAAACGAUAGAAAUUGUUCCCGAAUGUGUCGACACUCAGUAGCCAUAGAGGCUUGCAUGUUUUUGUAACAUUUAUCCAUUUGAGCUGGCUGGUUCACUACAUAGUCAUUCAUGUCAUCACGAGAUUUUGUUAAUUGGAUUUCAAGGUUUUUUAUGCGAUUUUGAAGAUCAGUUAUCGCUUCACGGCGUGCAGUUUCGUUUUCAAUUGCCCAUUUAAUAUGGUCUUUAUGCGCAAC